Molecule: transfer RNA, 72 nt
Filed under: Xenopus tropicalis (tropical clawed frog)
Lineage: Eukaryota; Metazoa; Chordata; Amphibia; Anura; Pipidae
Description: tRNA-Ser (GCT) (tRNA-Ser-GCT-49-1)
Rfam family: tRNA
About the family: Transfer RNA (tRNA) molecules are approximately 80 nucleotides in length.
Source: Rfam by way of RNAcentral
GGGGGUAUAGCUCAGUGGUAGAGCAUUUGACUGCUGAUCAAGAGGUUCCUGGUUCAACUGUGGGUGCCCCCU